CCUACGGGAGGCAGCAGUAAGGAAUAUUGGUCAAUGGAGGCAACUCUGAACCAGCCAUGCCGCGUGCAGGAUGACGGCCCUAUGGGUUGUAAACUGCUUUUAUACAAGAGAAAACCCUGGUACGUGUACCAGGUUGAUAGUAUUGUAAGAAUAAGCAUCGGCUAACUUCGUGCCAGCAGCCGCGGUAAGACGAAGGAUGCAAGCGUUAUCCGGAUUCAUUGGGUUUAAAGGGUGCGUAGGCGGACUGAUAAGUCAGUGGUGAAAUCUCUUUGCUUAACAAAGAAACUGCCAUUGAUACUGUCGGUCUAGAGUAUAGAUGACGUUGGCGGAAUAUGACAUGUAGUGGUGAAAUACUUAGAUAUGUCAUAGAACACCGAUUGCGAAGGCAGCUAACGAAACUAUAACUGACGCUGAGGCACGAAAGUGCGGGGAUCAAACAGGAUUAGAUACCCUGGUAGUCCGCACCGUAAACGAUGAUUACUCGUUGUUGGCGAUAUGACAGUCAGCGACCAAGCGAAAGCGAUAAGUAAUCCACCUGGGGAGUACGCCGGCGAACGGUGAAACUCAAAUGAAAUUGACGGCGNGAGAGNGCGACGGACGACACGAGGGAGGUAGG
Molecule: ribosomal RNA, 616 nt
Filed under: uncultured bacterium
Lineage: Bacteria
Description: bacterial SSU rRNA
Rfam family: Bacterial small subunit ribosomal RNA
Source: RNAcentral